AGGUUUAACAGUGGAUUUUGUACUUUUACAGCUGCUCUUUGAUAAAAGAUGAAGAUGAAAAUAAAUUUAUAUUGCUAGCUUGAUGAGCUCAAGAGUCUAGGUGAAGAUUUACAAUUUCUCUGGGCCAGGAAUCCAGGCACACUUGGCUGGGCCCUUUGACUUUCAAGGUGACAUCAGGGCAUGGACUCACAACAUGCAUUUCAUCAGAACAGCAAGUAAGGAGAACCAGAAAGAGAGAAUGCUAUCAAGAUGGAAGUAACCAUCACUUACAACCUAAUCUCAGAAGUAAAUCCAUCACUUGAGCCAUAUUUUAUUGUUAGAAGUGAGUCACUGUUUCUAGCCAACACAUUUAAGAGGAGGAGAUUAUAGCGGGGCAGGAAUACCAGGAGGCGUGGAUCGUUGGGACCCAGCUUAGAAGGUUCACAACCACACUGUCUGAUGAAUUCUUGGUGCUCUAAACCUGAUUUUAUCCACCUCUCUGAAGGAGAUUCUGAGGGUCAGCUACAAUAUGGCAUUGGGUGUUUUAGUGUGUUAACGUCUUAAAUUUACACUUUAU
Molecule: long non-coding RNA, 556 nt
Organism: Homo sapiens (human)
Lineage: Eukaryota; Metazoa; Chordata; Mammalia; Primates; Hominidae
Source: Ensembl